AACGGCCGCGGUAUCCUAACCGUGCAAAGGUAGCAUAAUCACUUGCCUAUUAAUUGUAGGCUAGAAUGAAAGGGUUAACGAAAUAAAAACUGUCUCAAUUAAUUAUCUAAAAAUUAUUUUCUAUCUGAAGAAAGGUAGAUAAUCUCGAAGGACAAGAAGACCCUAUAGAGCUUAAUUUUAAUUAUAGGACUACACUAUAAAAAUAUUCGGUUGGGGCGACCCAGGGCUAAUCAAUCACCCAUUUAAAUAAAGAUAAAUUAAUCUAUUAAAUGACCCUUUAAAGAUCAUAAGAACAAGCUACCUUAGGGAUAACAGGCUAAUCCCACUUAAGAGUCCUUAUCAACAGUGGGGUUUGGCACCUCGAUGUUGGCUUAGG
Molecule: ribosomal RNA, 376 nt
Filed under: Amynthas corticis
Lineage: Eukaryota; Metazoa; Annelida; Clitellata; Crassiclitellata; Megascolecidae
Description: partial 16S ribosomal RNA
Rfam family: Bacterial large subunit ribosomal RNA
Source: RNAcentral